AGACAUAGUGUCAAAAAAAGACUGAUGGAGAGGGAUCCCCAAGCUCUCUGCCACCCUGGAGAACGGUGAGGAGGCAGAAAGGACGUGAUUUGUGGUCCAGACCUAUUUCCCAGGACGCCCACAGCUUGAACAUCUAAUCGGGAGAUGGAUACUCGGGCCGGGUUCCAGACUGGGGUGUGUUUCGUCAACCGCAUCGAGGGUGUCUCCAGUCCGCGUUUUUCCCGCCGCUGUGCUUUAGGUUCUAGUCUUAUAUGAUGCCCGCCCCCGGCCCCACCCCCCGGAACUGUUUCUUUUUGGAAAACAGCCAAGAGGCGAGGCCGUUCAAUGAACGUUGUCAUCACUCCCACCGAGUCGCCGAGCAAUCUCUCUGAAUUCGGAGCAUCCCCUGUGCUGGCUGGAAACCCCUGGUUUGUUUUCCAGGCCAGAAAAAAAAAGAAAGAAAGAAAGAAACGGGGCUGACAUGGAGAAGGAGCUAACGUGAUGCCCGUGGUCGAAGGCGCCUUGACGGCCACGACCUCCAUCAGCAGCACUGCCUGGGAUGUGAUGCUCGAAGAAAGAAAAAGAAAAAAAAGGGAGAGAAUGGCAAGAUGGGGAAAGAAGAAAACUUUUUGGGGAAAAUGGAACAGGUCCCCAAGCCACAAGCAAGUCUCUGCAGGAAAAUACCUCUUCGAAGCUAGAGUCAUUACCAUGCACAGAGAAUAUCACAGAACCAAAAUGUCCCAUCCAUAAAAGAAUACUGUGUAAUUUGAACAGAUUACAAAUCCAUCAAUGUUCCCAGCUGCUGAUACUAUGAGCGAUGGAGCCAUAUGUUCGCUUAAAUAAAGCUGCGAG
Bos indicus x Bos taurus (hybrid cattle) is the source of this 831-nucleotide long non-coding RNA. Lineage: Eukaryota; Metazoa; Chordata; Mammalia; Artiodactyla; Bovidae. The record is from Ensembl.